CUACGGAGGGUGCAAGCGUUGUUCGGAAUUACUGGGCGUAAAGCGCGCGUAGGCGGUUUGUUAUGUCAGAUGUGAAAGUCCACGGCUCAACCGUGGAGGUGCAUUUGAAACUGGCAAACUUGAGUACUGGAGGGGGUGGUGGAAUUCCCGGUGUAGAGGUGAAAUUCGUAGAUAUCGGGAGGAAUACCGGUGGCGAAGGCGACCACCUGGCCAGAUACUGACGCUGAGGUGCGAAAGCGUGGGGAGCAAACAGGAUUAGAAACCCUAGUAGUCC
This 274-nucleotide ribosomal RNA is filed under the name uncultured bacterium. Its description in RNAcentral is "partial 16S ribosomal RNA". It matches the Rfam family "Bacterial small subunit ribosomal RNA", at positions 523 to 796 of the family's 1533-position model. The record is from RNAcentral.